UACGUAGGGUGCAAGCGUUGUCCGGAAUUAUUGGGCGUAAAGAGCUCGUAGGCGGUCUGUCACGUCGGACGUGAAAAUCCAGGGCUCAACCCUGGACCUGCGUUCGAUACGGGCAGACUAGAGUUCGGUAGGGGAGACUGGAAUUCCUGGUGUAGCGGUGAAAUGCGUAGAUAUCGGGAGGAACACCAGUGGCGAAGGCGACUACCUGGCCUGUUCUUGACGCUGAGGCGCGAAAGCUAGGGGAGCAAACGGG
Molecule: ribosomal RNA, 253 nt
Filed under: uncultured bacterium
Lineage: Bacteria
Description: partial 16S ribosomal RNA
Rfam family: Bacterial small subunit ribosomal RNA
Source: RNAcentral